UACGUAGGUGGCAAGCGUUGUCCGGAUUUACUGGGCGUAAAGGGUGCGUAGGUGGAUAUUUAAGUCAGAUGUGAAAUCCCUGGGCUCAACCCAGGACCUGCAUUUGAAACUGGAUGUCUAGAGUGCGGGAGAGGUAAGUGGAAUUCCUAGUGUAGCGGUGAAAUGCGUAGAGAUUAGGAAGAACACCAGUGGCGAAGGCGACUUACUGGACCGUAACUGACACUGAGGCACGAAAGCGUGGGUAGCAAACAGG
RNAcentral lists this ribosomal RNA (253 nucleotides) under uncultured Clostridium sp. RNAcentral describes it as "partial 16S ribosomal RNA". It matches the Rfam family "Bacterial small subunit ribosomal RNA", at positions 524 to 776 of the family's 1533-position model. Lineage: Bacteria; Bacillati; Bacillota; Clostridia; Eubacteriales; Clostridiaceae. The record is from RNAcentral. RNAcentral also lists the same sequence under 1 other name.